GACGAACGCUGGCGGCGUGCUUAACACAUGCAAGUCGAACGGAAAGGCCCUGCUUUUGUGGGGUGCUCGAGUGGCGAACGGGUGAGUAACACGUGAGUAACCUGCCCUUGACUUUGGGAUAACUUCAGGAAACUGGGGCUAAUACCGGAUAGGAGCUCCUGCUGCAUGGUGGGGGUUGGAAAGUUUCGGCGGGUGGGGAUGGACUCGCGGCUUAUCAGCUUGUUGGUGGGGUAGUGGCUUACCAAGGCUUUGACGGGUAGCCGGCCUGAGAGGGUGACCGGCCACAGUGGGACUGCGGUACGGCCCAGACUCCUACGGGAGGCAGCAGUGGGGAAUAUUGCACAAUGGGCGGAAGCCUGAUGCAGCAACGCCGCGUGCGGGAUGACGGCCUUCGGGUUGUAAACCGCUUUCGCCUGUGACGAAGCGUGAGUGACGGUAAUGGGUAAAGAAGCACCGGCUAACUACGUG
This 468-nucleotide ribosomal RNA is filed under the name uncultured bacterium. Its description in RNAcentral is "partial 16S ribosomal RNA". It matches the Rfam family "Bacterial small subunit ribosomal RNA", at positions 28 to 507 of the family's 1533-position model. The record is from RNAcentral.